RNAcentral lists this ribosomal RNA (434 nucleotides) under uncultured bacterium. Its description in RNAcentral is "partial 16S ribosomal RNA". It matches the Rfam family "Bacterial small subunit ribosomal RNA", at positions 27 to 507 of the family's 1533-position model. The record is from RNAcentral.
GAACGAACGCUGGCGGCAUGCCUAACACGUGCAAGUCGAACGAGACCUUCGGGUCUAGUGGCGCACGGGUGCGUAACGCGUGGGAACCUGCCCUUAGGUUCGGAAUAACUCCCAGAAAGGGGUGCUAAUACCGGAUAAUGUCUUCGGACCAAAGAUUUAUCGCCUUUGGAUGGGCCCGCGUUGGAUUAGCUAGUUGGUAGGGUAAAAGCCUACCAAGGCGACGAUCCAUAGCUGGUCGGAGAGGAUGAUCAGCCACACUGGGACUGAGACACGGCCCAGACUCCUACGGGAGGCAGCAGUGGGGAAUAUUGGACAAUGCGCGAAAGCCUGAUCCAGCAAUGCCGCGUGAGUGAUGAAGGCCUUAGGGUUGUAAAGCCCUUUUACCCGGGAUGAUAAUGCCAGUACCGGGAGAAUAAGCCCCGCCUAACUCCGUG